GACGAACGCUGGCGGCGUGCUUAACACAUGCAAGUCGAACGGAAAGGCCCUGCUUUUGUGGGGUGCUCGAGUGGCGAACGGGUGAGUAACACGUGAGUAACCUGCCCUUGACUUUGGGAUAACUUCAGGAAACUGGGGCUAAUACCGGAUAGGAGCUCCUGCUGCAUGGUGGGGGUUGGAAAGUUUCGGCGGUUGGGGAUGGACUCGCGGCUUAUCAGCUUGUUGGUGGGGUAGUGGUUUACCAAGGCUUUGAAGGGUAGCCGGCCUGAGAGGGUGAACGGCGACAUGGGGACUGAGAGACGGCGCAGUAUGCAACGGGAGGCAGCAGUGGGGAGUAUUGCACAAUGGCCGGAAGCCUGAUGCAGCAACGCCGCGUGCGGGAUGACGUCCUUCGGGUUAUAAACCGCUGUGGCCGGUGACGAAGCGGGAGUGACGGUAAUGGGUAAAGAAGCACCGGCUAACUACGUG
RNAcentral lists this ribosomal RNA (468 nucleotides) under uncultured bacterium. RNAcentral's name for it is "partial 16S ribosomal RNA". It matches the Rfam family "Bacterial small subunit ribosomal RNA", at positions 28 to 507 of the family's 1533-position model. The record is from RNAcentral.